This 472-nucleotide ribosomal RNA is filed under the name uncultured bacterium. RNAcentral's name for it is "partial 16S ribosomal RNA". It matches the Rfam family "Bacterial small subunit ribosomal RNA", at positions 30 to 507 of the family's 1533-position model. The record is from RNAcentral.
AGUGAACGCUGGCGGUAGGCCUAACACAUGCAAGUCGAACGGCAGCACAGUAAGAGCUUGCUCUUACGGGUGGCGAGUGGCGGACGGGUGAGGAAUACAUCGGAAUCUACUUUUUCGUGGGGGAUAACGUAGGGAAACUUACGCUAAUACCGCAUACGACCUACGGGUGAAAGCAGGGGAUCUUCGGACCUUGCGCGAGUGAAUGAGCCGGUGGCGGAUUAGCUAGUUGGCGGGGUAGAGGCCCACCAAGGCGACGAUGGGUAGCCGGCCUGAGAGGAUGACCGGCCACAUUGGGACUGAGAAACGGCCCAGACUCCUACGGGAGGCAGCAGUGGGGAAUAGUGCACAAUGGGCGGAAGCCUGAUGCAGCAACGCCGCGUGCGGGAUGACGGCCUUCGGGUUGUAAACCGCUUUCGCCUGUGACGAAGCGUGAGUGACGGUAAUGGGUAAAGAAGCACCGGCUAACUACGUG